AACGAACGCUGGCGGCAGGCUUAACACAUGCAAGUCGAGCGCCCCGCAAGGGGAGCGGCAGACGGGUGAGUAACGCGUGGGAAUCUACCGUGCCCUACGGAAUAGCUCCGGGAAACUGGAAUUAAUACCGUAUACGCCCUACGGGGGAAAGAUUUAUCGGGGUAUGAUGAGCCCGCGUUGGAUUAGCUAGUUGGUGGGGUAAAGGCCUACCAAGGCGACGAUCCAUAGCUGGUCUGAGAGGACGAUCAGCCACAUUGGGACUGAGACACGGCCCAAACUCCUACGGGAGGCAGCAGUGGGGAAUAUUGGACAAUGGGCGCAAGCCUGAUCCAGCCAUGCCGCGUGAGUGAUGAAGGUCUUAGGAUUGUAAAGCUCUUUCACCGGUGAAGAUAAUGACGGUAACCGGAGAAGAAGCCCCGGCUAACUUCGUGCCAGCAGCCGCCGCCG
RNAcentral lists this ribosomal RNA (447 nucleotides) under uncultured bacterium. RNAcentral describes it as "partial 16S ribosomal RNA". It matches the Rfam family "Bacterial small subunit ribosomal RNA", at positions 29 to 523 of the family's 1533-position model. The record is from RNAcentral.